ACCCCUAAUAUGUACAACAUCAACAUCAAUGUAUAUUCAGUAUCAGAAGGUUUGGCAGGGUAGCACCUUAUAUAUAGACUAACUCAUUCAGAGAGGCAUAAGCUUCAGGCCAGGUACAGAAGUUACACUUAUUGUAUGGUAGGUGCAUAGAAAGCACUCUACAGACAUAACUGAACAGACAGCCAGAGCAUAUAAAGUGCUAUAAAAAUGGUGGAGCCUUUUCUAAUAUAACCCUAGAUGGAGGCAGUAUUAGAUUUCAGUGCUGUAAGUUAGGGUGCUGUAAUGAACAUGCGUACCAGAUUCCAUCACAAUUCACAUUAGGUUACAUUCUGCUUGCAACCAAUGGGGCUUUGUGGCACCCCACUCACUGCUCUUUGUGGUGCAGCAGUCUAGCCUAGGCCAGAACUUGACUCAUUUGCCCAAGCACUGGGUUAGCCCUGUCACCAGGCUGUCACUAACAAGAGUCAGUAAAGUCCCCAUUUCCAGUCCUCCUCCACCACCAAACUUGUUCCCUCCAACCAGCUAUGAGUCUCUGUCUGGUAUUAUCACUCAGUGUGCAGAUUCCAUCUACCCUGUCUGGGCAUUUAUAAAGAUUUCAGCUUUUGAUUAAAUGCCAAGCUGUUUGCUGAACACCAUGUUCGCACCAGGGGCGAACAUUGUUGUUCAAAAUGUACAUGUUCAUUUUGUACAUUGUUGUUUUGAAGUGUCCACAAACAGGUGAAAAUGCAUUUUUUCCUGGCAAUCCUCCAGACACCAUUUGGUAGAGCAGCUAUGAGCCUCACUGCAGGAAUGGCACAGUGGAAUGUGGGAAUUCUCCCUAACAAGCCCCUCCACUCCUUCCGUUGCCUCCCAGAGAAAUGGAGAAGGCUCAUGCCUCUGGGCCCUGAUGCUUAGGUUUCUCAGCCUUCCCAGCUCCAAUAAAAGGGAGAUGGAAUCCAGGCAUCUGGGUUUUCCCUCCUGGAAGGUGGAGUGUGGGUGUUCUGUUCCAUGGUCAGUGCUGGGUCAUCAUCAGCUGCAUAGCUUCUGGCCCUGAGUGAGGGAAAUGGUCUGGACAGGGGACUCACCAGAGGUCCUUCUGUGUCUCCCUUGUCUGCAGGUUUCACAUUUGGGUACAGGAGGCACCAUCAUGGAGUCCAAGAUGCUGGAUCUAGGAUUGUCACCCAGAUACCUGCAGAGGGCCAGAGAUGUGUGUAGAUGGCACCAGUGGCAUGAGAACCAAAUUGGACCCUCGAUGUGGCAGGUUUGAAUGGAUAGGUUGAUGACUGGUUGUAUCUGUGGUACUGCAGCACUUAAAUGAGUAACCUAGGCCCAGGAAUGCAUUGUGAUGGUUGCAGAAUGAAGCCUACAGAUGACCAAUUAUUCUCUGAAGAAGGCCACUGAUGCUGCUAUGGAGCUGAGAGUCACAGCACUAGGAUAAAGAGUUUAUGGACAGGGUGAAAGACUGCUUGGGAUCCAUCUAUGAUGACAUCUGAGUGCUGUCAGUGCAACCACCUUUGGAGAGACUGUUGCCCUCUUGAAGAGGCAUGGCAUGGCAGACUGCUGCCUCCCUCCCCCCAGGAUGGAGAGCCCCGCUCCAGAGAUUUCUCCUUGGUGUGACAUGCCUACUAUAUGAAGAAAGAUGAGCCUAUUACCUUAAGCACUGGCCAGCCUGUAUCACAGAUACAUUCUCUUUGGAGAGGAUAAGCGUUGUUCUUUUCUCUGUUUCAGUAGGUUUAAUGAAACAGAUCAUUUUUCUACACUACUAACUUUCUUAUUUCAAGAACACCAUGGAAGUAAAGCCCUGUGU
This is a long non-coding RNA of Alligator mississippiensis (American alligator), 1786 nucleotides long. RefSeq lists it as uncharacterized. The transcript is spliced from 3 exons. The record is from RefSeq and is a predicted model, not a curated record. Lineage: Eukaryota; Metazoa; Chordata; Crocodylia; Alligatoridae.